AAAGAAAGAAAAAAAAAAUAAACCUCUCUCUCUCUGCCGAAACUAGCAACCAAAACAGAGCAUUCCUUCUCCAAGCUUGUUCUCUCUCCACAGGCCUUCGAUCGACCCCAGACCACGUUCCACAGCUUCACCUUGAUCUUGCGCAGCUGCAGGAGGCAGCCUUGCGCCGCAGAACGGUCGGAAACGGCGGCGGAAGUCCGGUUAGUUUUAAGCCCGUUUUAGUUCCAAGCUCGAUAACUCGUGCUUCCGGCCACCGAUCCUUGCCAAACUGCAUCCUCGUGCUUCCCUCAACCUCCUGAAGCCCCCAGAAGCAGCCUUGCACGGCGGCGCAUCCCGUAGCAGCAACUACAAGUCAACCCCGCCAAGAACGAGACCUGAACUAUCGAUCCAAAUAUCUUGAGCUACAGGACGUCGUUUUGAGUGAUUCUUGAACCAGUGAGUUCUUCUUGAGUUUCUUAACAACUCUUCAGAAGGAAUCGAAGCCUUAAAUUGACGUUUUGACGUCGAAAUCGAGCCUUGCCGGAUUCUGCAAAAUUCUGGAAUUUUUCCGACCACCGAAGCUUUCGAUCGGUAUAUCUCGAGCUACAGACCAUAUUUUUCUGUGAUUCUUGAACCAGUGAGUUCUUCUUGAGUUUCUCAACAACUCUUCAGAAGGAAUCGAAGCCUUAAAUUGACGUUUUUACGUCGAAUUGAAGCUCGCCGUUUUCUGCAGUUUCUCGCCGGAUUCUGGAAAAAUUCCGGCCACCUUCAACUGUUCUAGGUGAUUGACGGUUUGAGUUGGCGGACGAUUGUGAAUCGUAUUUUGAGCUGUUAAGAAGACGCAGCGGGAUUAGAGCGGGUAAUCCUACAGGACAGGAGAACCAGGACGGUGAUCGUGCGGUUAGAGCAAUGGUUAUAGUUUUACAGCAAUUGUAAUAGUGAGGUGAGUUAAGCUCAUUUGAGCCUUACAAUUUGAUUUGGUGGGAGUGUGCUGUAAUAAAUAAC
This is a long non-coding RNA of Rosa rugosa (rugosa rose), 984 nucleotides long. RefSeq lists it as uncharacterized. NCBI's taxonomy places the organism in Eukaryota, Viridiplantae, Streptophyta, Magnoliopsida, Rosales, Rosaceae. The record is from RefSeq and is a predicted model, not a curated record. The transcript has 3 exons.